UACGAAGGGGGCUAGCGUUGCUCGGAAUCACUGGGCGUAAAGGGUGCGUAGGCUGGUCUUUCAGUCAGAGGUGAAAUCCUGGAGCUCAACUCCAGAACUGCCUUUGAUACUGAGGAUCUUGAGUUCGGGAGAGGUGAGUGGAACUGCGAGUGUAGAGGUGAAAUUCGUAGAUAUUCGCAAGAACACCAGUGGCGAAGGCGGCUCACUGGCCCGAUACUGACGCUGAGGCACGAAAGCGUGGGGAGCAAACAGG
This 253-nucleotide ribosomal RNA is filed under the name uncultured bacterium. Its description in RNAcentral is "partial 16S ribosomal RNA". It matches the Rfam family "Bacterial small subunit ribosomal RNA", at positions 524 to 776 of the family's 1533-position model. The record is from RNAcentral.